RNAcentral lists this ribosomal RNA (235 nucleotides) under uncultured bacterium. RNAcentral's name for it is "partial 16S ribosomal RNA". It matches the Rfam family "Bacterial small subunit ribosomal RNA", at positions 99 to 334 of the family's 1533-position model. The record is from RNAcentral.
CGGACGGGUGAGUAACGCGUGGGUAACCUACCCUGUACACACAGAUAACAUACCGAAAGGUAUGCUAAUACGGGAUAAUAUAUUUGAGAGGCAUCUCUUGAAUAUCAAAGGUGAGCCAGUACAGGAUGGACCCGCGCCUGAUUAGCUAGUUGGUAAGGUAACGGCUUACCAAGGCGACGAUCAGUAGCCGACCUGAGAGGGUGAUCGGCCACAUUGGAACUGAGACACGGUCCAA